CCGAGUUGCAAAACUCCCUACACCCGUGUGAACCAUACCUAUACGUUGCUUCGGCGGACCCGCCCCGGCGCCUCGGCGACCGGAACCAGGCGACCGCCGGGGGAAAACCACAAACCAUUUGUUUCUCCAGUGGAUCAUCUGAGUAAACAAACAAAUGAAUCA
RNAcentral lists this unclassified non-coding RNA (162 nucleotides) under uncultured Ascomycota. Its description in RNAcentral is "sequence contains ITS1". The record is from RNAcentral. Lineage: Eukaryota; Fungi; Ascomycota.